UCCGUAGGCGGGCCGAUAAGUCAGGGGUGAAAGUUUGCAGCUCAACUGUAAAAUUGCCUUUGAUACUGUUGGUCUUGAGUUAUAGUGAAGUUGCCGGAAUAUGUAGUGUAGCGGUGAAAUGCAUAGAUAUUACAUAGAACACCGAUUGCGAAGGCAGGUGACUAACUAUAUACUGACGCUGAUGGACGAAAGCGUGGGGAGCGAACAGGAUUAGAUACCCUGGUAGUCC
Molecule: ribosomal RNA, 229 nt
Filed under: uncultured bacterium
Lineage: Bacteria
Description: partial 16S ribosomal RNA
Rfam family: Bacterial small subunit ribosomal RNA
Source: RNAcentral